GGAAAACCAUGAUGGGAAGUACAGUGUGUGGAGACGGAACUUGAUUAAAGCCAAUCAGUAGCAUCUAAGCAGAACCUUAAGAAGCAUGAAGACUGUCUGAAUCAGGAAUGAAAAGGACAUCAGUGCUCCUGGUUCUCUGGCCUUCAGACUUUGACUGAAUUAUACCACCGGCUUUCCUGAUUUCCCAGGUCACAGACAGCAGAUCAUGGGACUUCUCAGCUUCCAUAAUCAAGCCAAACUUUAUCCUGGAUUUAGGUACAAUAUACAUGAGAUAUUCUCUGCCUACUGCUUUGGAUACAGAAGUCAACGCCCUGCACUCUUCUAAAGAUCUAAAAU
Molecule: long non-coding RNA, 336 nt
Filed under: Equus caballus (horse)
Lineage: Eukaryota; Metazoa; Chordata; Mammalia; Perissodactyla; Equidae
Description: lncRNA (ENSECAG00000054411.1)
Source: RNAcentral